CCCAUGGCCCCCAUCUCUUCCCCACGCCCACCUUAUCCAAUCAUCUCAGGAAAGGCAUGCCGCCGGCAACGCUGGAACCGAUCUGGCGCGGUGGUUCCCGUCGACGCCGUGUGCCCCCGGAACCUCUCAUGCAUCCUCUCAGCCACACGGCCCACCAACACCAUGGCCCUCUCGUCACCAUCUCUUCCACCCCAUCCCCAUCUUCUCCGAUGCCGACCUCGGCAAGCAUGCCGGCGACGCAUCUCCUGCCCCCUCCUCUGCGCAUUAGUCCCAGCGCCCAACAUCUCCACACCCCCUCCUCCUCGCCAUCUCCUUCACCCCCUGUCCCGUCUCCUGCCGCUGACCGCCGCCGGCUAUGUGUUGCUUCCUUGGCGGCGGCGUUUUCGCAUACUCCUCCUCCUCCUUCCCCACUGUCACUGAAGCGCCCCAUGUGGAGGUGCUAUGCUUGGCUAGGUCCUUCCCAAUCCUCAUCCCUCCCACCCGUGCCGCCUCCAAAAUUCAUUUUUUUUGUUACCCAGAGUUCAAUUCGUGCGUCCAGGUCGAACUCUCUAGAAGCCAGUCUUGCAGAGUUGCAGUCCAAUAUAAAUCAAAUGGGUAGGCAGAUGGGACUCAAGCUGCUUGCACUACACCUCAAGAGCCACACACUCGUCACGCCAAUCUGGAGCUGUUCCAAGGAAAGGAGCAGUUCUAUUAACGAUGGAUAUGAUAAUAUGUAUUGGAGAAUGCUCGUCGUCCUGGUAAUUUCGGAGAUCUGGCAUCAGCACAAUCGUCUUAUCAUUCAAAUUUUGUAGUUAUCGGCUCCAACGCUCGCAUGUCUUGCGAUUGCGAAGCCAAUGUAAGGAGUCUGAUGCGCCCGCUGGCGUGCAUUCCUUCAGUGCCUCUCCUCUGGCAUCAACCUAAAUGACCACGACAAUCGCUGAAUGUGAGGUGAUCAUUGCUUUCAAUUCAUUUUUGUGUUUAUACUGAAGUUAUUUGGUGUCUGUUUUGCAGGAUAGUUUAACUUGCGAGAAAAUACUAUUGCAUUUUCAAAAAGCGAUUAUGUUUGAUCUUAUAAGCAAUAUUGCAUUUAAAAAAGUAUUUCUCACCAAGGAAGGUAAUUAUAAUAAGCAUAAGAAUCAGCAUGUGAUUGUUUUUAGGAUAACUGACAUAUGCAAAAAUAAAUAAAAAUUGCCAAAAGAUCCUGAUCUUACUAAGCACAGAGUUCUUGGCUUAAGUACCAGGCAGUAGGUGACUGGUUUUCAUGGCGUUACAGCCAAAUCUUGCUUUAUGUAAUGUAAGAAGAGGCUGAAAGUUUGUUCUAUUAAACAGCAAUCUAAUGAUAUAUUAUAUACAGCAAAGGUUGCAUUGCCUUCUGUACGUUGAGCAUUUGUUUGUAUAUCUAAGCUCACUAAAUUGCAUUUCACAAUGAAAAUUCAGAUAUGUUGUUAGUCGUUCAGCUUAGCAAUUCCAGAAGUCGUAGUUCCAGCCAAACAUCUAAAUACUGAGCUCAAAUUGCAGAAAAUAUUGGGUGUUCAGUACUCGAUUUUGGACUAUAUGUUCACCUAUCUCUAGGGUGCCAUGAUCUCAUCUAAAGGAUCUUUUUUGCUAACACAUACCUUGAUGUUGACAUCGACAGCAGCAGAGAUAAUAUACGCCAUAUAAUCUUGUAAACAUAUGUGUAGAUCAGUACAAGUACUUUCAGUCUUCCUCCUUGUGAAUUAGUCUUUCAAGCUGUGGAUGGUCAGGAGUCGCUUGAGCCCUGCAAAGAUAAUGUUCAAGCUACAGCUUGAGUCAGAAUUUGUACGGAUACAUGAAAAUGUGAUGUAUGCCGAGAAAAGUGAGCAUCCACUUGCAGAAGACUUGUGCCUGGAUGUGCUAAUUGACAGUGAAAUGUAGAAAUAAGUUGCAACUUUGUAAUAUCCAUCUGAUAUGUGAAACAAGAAUUGUUACUAAUUCACAACAUGUAUCUACGAUUGUGAGAUGGGACACCAUGUGCACAGCGGAGGCAACACAAGGUCGAGAGAAAAGCCCGUGCGGAAAGAGAUGCAACAUACGGCCAUCAUUACAACUGUUAUAUUUUUGUAUAUGUUGUAAUUAUUCAUGCAAAGGUUACAGGCUUGAUGCACAAUUAUAAGUAUCUGGAGGAGUUGACGAAGCGUGGAGUUUUUUCUUGACAAUACAAAGAGUAUGAGUUAGGAGA
Triticum aestivum (bread wheat) is the source of this 2179-nucleotide RNA transcript. It is a transcript of the gene named verprolin, with no coding region annotated. The transcript is spliced from 3 exons. The record is from RefSeq and is a predicted model, not a curated record. Lineage: Eukaryota; Viridiplantae; Streptophyta; Magnoliopsida; Poales; Poaceae.